This 771-nucleotide ribosomal RNA is filed under the name Triticum aestivum (bread wheat). Its description in RNAcentral is "partial small subunit ribosomal RNA". Lineage: Eukaryota; Viridiplantae; Streptophyta; Magnoliopsida; Poales; Poaceae. The record is from RNAcentral.
AUGGCGGACAAGCCGAGCCGGGCGCUGGUGCUGUACACCGCCGGCCACGAGGCGCUGCUCACCGGGGGCGGAGGGGGGAAGGGCCAGCUCGACGCAUUCGCCUCCAUCGCCUCCUGCGGCUUCCUCUCCGUCCGCACUCCCGCGAGGCUUCUGGUCUUGUCUCCCAAACCAGAGGAUGGAGGGGACAGGAACAACGACUUGAUUCUCGAGCUGGCAGCUGCUAUGGUCAGCAAUUGCCCCAGUCUUAGCUCAUUCUCGGCGAAUCUUGGCUUCCACGUUUUCGGAACUGAGGAUUUUGCCUUGCAGUCAGGUUCUGGCAGCAGUUCUAAGGACACUAGAAUAAUCGACCGGGCGUUCACUCUGCUGGGAUUUGCAGAGGGGAAUGUCCAGGAUGCGUCCGAAUUCGAUCUGGGGUUUGUGCAUGCCGCAAUGGAGAACACAUCCAGCAAGCUUGGGAAAUUAGGGAUGAAGAUGGAUCUCAACCGGCUUGACAAAUUGGUGGCUUCAAUCAUGGAAGCUGCGCCGCUCGGUUCAGCUGUCGCUGCCCGUAUUCAUGUUUCUGUUAUCUUGAGCUAUGGAUCUGCUACUGCAAAUAAGGAACAUGCAUGCCUCAUCUUGAACUCUUCAACCGAAAUUGAUUCCGACUUGAAGAAUCAUCAUCCAAUGCUACUGGCACAGUGGCAACAAGGAGUAACACGUUCUGAUUUGGCCAAGGAUUUAUGUGAUAAUAUAGUAAGUAUGGUAUUACAAAUUCUCAACCUCCUCUUUUGA